GCCAGACUCCUACGGGAGGCAGCAGUGGGGAAUAUUGCACAAUGGGGGGAACCCUGAUGCAGCGACGCCGCGUGGGUGAAGAAGUCAUUCGUGACGUAAAGCCCUAUCAGCAGGGAAGAAAAUGACGGUACCUGACUAAGAAGCCCCGGCUAACUACGUGCCAGCAGCCGCGGGAAUACGUAGGGGGCAAGCGUUAUCCGGAUUUACUGGGUGUAAAGGGGGCGCAGACGGCAGCGCAAGCCAGGAGUGAAAGCCCGGGGCCCAACCCCGGGACUGCUCUUGGAACUGCAUGGCUGGAGUACAGGAGGGGCAGGCGGAAUUCCUAGUGUAGCGGUGAAAUGCGUAGAUAUUAGGAGGAACCCCGGUGGCGAAGGCGGCCUGCUGGACUGUGACUGACGUUGAGGCCCGAAGGCGUGGGGAGCACACAGGAUUAGAUCCCCGCGUA
This 445-nucleotide ribosomal RNA is filed under the name uncultured bacterium. RNAcentral describes it as "partial 16S ribosomal RNA". It matches the Rfam family "Bacterial small subunit ribosomal RNA", at positions 330 to 792 of the family's 1533-position model. The record is from RNAcentral.